Molecule: ribosomal RNA, 261 nt
Filed under: Eimeriorina sp.
Lineage: Eukaryota; Apicomplexa; Conoidasida; Eucoccidiorida
Description: partial small subunit ribosomal RNA
Rfam family: Eukaryotic small subunit ribosomal RNA
Source: RNAcentral
UCCAGCAUGGAAUAACAUGUAAGGACUCAAGUUCUUCUUGUUGGUUUAAGAACCUGAGUAAUGAUUAAGGGGAACAGUCGGGGGUAUUCGUACUCGGUCGUCAGAGGUGAAAUUCUUAGAUUGACUGAAGACGAACUACUGCGAAGGCAUCUACCAUGGAUGUUUUCAUUAAUCAAGAACGAAAGUUAGGGGAUCGAAGAUGAUCAGAUACCAUCGUAGUCUUAACCAUAAACUAUGCCGACUAGAGAUUGGAAGCUGUCA